RNAcentral lists this ribosomal RNA (292 nucleotides) under uncultured bacterium. RNAcentral describes it as "partial 16S ribosomal RNA". It matches the Rfam family "Bacterial small subunit ribosomal RNA", at positions 505 to 796 of the family's 1533-position model. The record is from RNAcentral.
GUGCCAGCAGCCGCGGUAAUACGGAGGGUGCAAGCAUUGAUCGGAAUUACUGGGUGUAAAGGGCGCGUAGGCGGCAGGAAAAGUCGGAUGUGAAAUUCCGGGGCUCAACCCCGGAGCUGCAUUUGAAACUAUCCAGCUAGAGGUUAGUAAGGGAAAACGGAAUUCCACGUGUAGCGGUGAAAUGCGUAGAUAUGUGGAAGAACACCGGUGGUGAAGACGGUUUUCUGUGCUAAACCUGACGCUGAGGCGCGAAAGCUAGGGGAGCAAACAGGAUUAGAUACCCCCGUAGUCC